Molecule: long non-coding RNA, 2410 nt
Organism: Bactrocera neohumeralis
Lineage: Eukaryota; Metazoa; Arthropoda; Insecta; Diptera; Tephritidae
Exons: 3
Source: RefSeq, a predicted model, not a curated record
GAGUCCUAUGAUAUACAUUUGUAUGUAUAAUAUGGUAUCAAAAUGGCAUAUACAUAUAUUAGCAAAGCAUACAUAUUUAGCAAAGCACUAAAAUGUAGCGAACUGAGGCAUUAAAAAUGCGCAUAUGUAUGUAUAUCCAUACAUACAAGUAAACGAGACUGACGGAAAAUAAUAUAGCAACUAUCAGACGUAUCUGGGACUCUAAAAAGGUUAAUGUAAAUUAUGCAGUAUUUAUUUUUAGGCUUUUUCUGACUAAUACCUUAGUGGUGGUAACGUAAUAUCUUUUCUCUUCCGGUUUAUUGCUGUUUCAAUGAAUUGUGUGCACCAGCUUUCUCGCUUCAGCAGCAAACAAAGCCAAUUGAACUGCAGAAAUAAAUGAGAAUACACCAGAGAACUUAAAGCAAUGGAAGCAAAAGAAAAGCUCGUCCAUUAGGGCCUACAGCUGAGUUGCAAAUAAGGAAUUUUAUAGAAAUUAAUAAGCAAAGCGGAAGGGAGACACGGAAAGCAAUGAAGUUCCAAUAAAAAGGAAAAGGAACCACAAAGAAAACAUAAACAAAAGAUUUUGAUGAUAGCGACAAUUAGUUACAUGGCCACCUGUCGGUUACAAAAUAUUGCCGCUAUUGGAAAUUAUAGCGCUAUUAGUUACUUCCAGUGAUAAGCUUCCUUUUAUACUGCUGUGCUGCCAGAGCCGCCAAAUUAUAAUUAAACCACUCAACUUAAGGAUCUAUCAUAAUUAUAACUUAUGAACGUCAGCAUUGCUUACAUUCCUAUUUGUACUUAACAGUCCAGUAUAUGACAUGCUCAAUAAUAAUUAAAUAUCACAAGUUGCGAAUAUUUAAUAAGGUCAGAGGAGAAGUGUAUUAGGUGAACAUUAAGUGUUUUUACUCCUCAACAUCGCAUAUAAGGUUCUAUCGAGCGUAUUGUGUGAAAGAUUAAAGCCCACCGUCAACAAACUGAUUGGACCUUAUCAGUGCGGCUUUAGUCCUGGAAAAUCAACAACCGACCAGAUAUUCACCAUGCGCCAAGUCUUGGAAAAGACCCGUGAAAGAAGAAUCGACACACACCACCUCUUCGUCACGACAGCACGAAAAGGAGCUGCCUUUAUGCCGCGAUGUCUGAAUUUGGUAUCCCCGCAAAACUAAUACGACUGUGUAAGCUGACGUUGAGCAACACCAAAGGCUCCGUCAGAAUCGGGAAGGACCUCUCCGAGCCGUUCGAUACCAAACGAGGUUUCAGACAAGGCGAUUCCCUAUCGUGCGACUUCUUCAACCUGCUACUGGAGAAAAUAGUUCGAGCUGCAGAACUAAAUAGAUAAGGUACUACAUAUCUUCUAUAAGAGUAUACAGCUGCUGGCGUAUGCCGAUGAUAUUGAUAUCAUCGGCCUCAACACCCGCGCGGUUAGUUCUGCUUUCUCCAGACUGGACAAAGAAGCAAAGCAAAUCGGUCUGGCAGUGAACGAGGGCAAGACGAAAUAUCUCCUGUCAUCAAACAAACAGUCGUCGCACUCGCGACUUGGCACUCACGUCACUGUUGACAGUCAUAACUUUGAAGUCGUAGAUGAUUUCGUCUAUCUUGGAAGCAGCGUAAACACCACCAACAAUGUCAGCCUAGAAAUCCAACGCAGGAUAACUCUUGCCAACAGGUGCUACUUCGGACUGAGUAGGCAAUUGAGAAGCAAAGUCCUCUCUCGGCAAACAAAAACCAAACUCUAUAAGUCACUCAUAAUUCCCGUCCUGCUAUAUGGUGCAGAGGCUUGGACGACGUCAACAACUGAUGAGUCGACGUUGCGAGUUUUCGAGAAAAAAGUUCUGCGAAAGAUUUAUGGUUCUUUGCGCGUUGGCUACGGCGAAUAUCGCAUUCGAUGGAACGAUGAUAUAUGACGACAUUGACAUAGUUUAGCGAAUUAAAAGACAGCGGCUACGCUGGCUAGGUCAUGUUGUCCGAAUGGACGGAAACACUCCAGCUCUGAAAGUAUUCGACGCUGUACCCGCCGGGGGAAGCAGAGGAAGAGGAAGACCUCCACUCCGUUGGAAGGACCAGAUGGAGAAGGACCUGGCUACGCUUGGAAUAUCCAAUUGGCGCCACGUAGCGAAAAGAAGAAACGACUGGCGCGCUGUUGUUAACUCGGCUAUAAUAGCGUAAGCGGUGUCUACGCCAAUUAAGAAGAGAAGUGUUUUUAUACUUUUCUAUUGCAAUUAAGUUCAUGUAUUUAUAUAACUAUAAACAUAUAUAUUAAUAAUAAUCGCUAAUUACCAUUUUUUAUUUUCUAACAUAUUUCCUUAAAAAUUUGAAUUUGAGAAUUAAGACCGAUAUGUUCUCGAAUUAGUUCUUAUUAAGGGAUUACAUGGGUUUACGACUCUUAAAAAAUCGAUUUUUUUAUUGUUUUACUAAAUUCUACAACACCUCUAGA